This is a non-coding RNA of Microcebus murinus (gray mouse lemur), 1284 nucleotides long. Lineage: Eukaryota; Metazoa; Chordata; Mammalia; Primates; Cheirogaleidae. The record is from RefSeq and is a predicted model, not a curated record.
CCACGUGAAUGGCACAAAGAGGAGACAUUCCCAGGAGUAAAGAGGCUAUUUUAGCACUAUGCAGUUGCCGCUCUGCGAGUGGCUAGUGGGAACACAGAGAAGGAUCUUAGCCCAGGCCUGGCAGGUUAGGGAAGGCUUCCUGGAAGACCUGGAAGGUGACCUCUAAGCUAGGUAAGUGGGAUUUAGUCAGGAUCUGAGAAGGAAAAGUAGAGAAGGCUGUUCAGAGAAUGGCCCAGGCAAAGAUCUCAAGGCAAGACCCAGACCAGCUGUGCUGACCUUGGGCAAGUGACAUCGCUCUCUGAGCCUCAGUUUCCUCAUGUGUAAAUGGGAAGCCUAACACCAUUCUCUGGAGUUGGGACUAAUAAGCUCCUGUCUGCAACAGUGCCUGGCGGGUGUGGGUGGGGGGGCAGCUUGGUGUGUGUGUGUGUGUGUGUGUGUGUGUGUGUGUGUGUGAAUCCAUUCAUUAGCUCUGGGUGUGGGGCCCUUUGUGGGCAGGUAGUGGUCCACCGGCUGGUUCCUUCACACCUGCAGGUCUCAGCUUAGACAUCACGGGGACAUCGCUAGAGAAACCUUCCAGUUCAAAGGCUUUCAUGCUUGUGCUGAAAGCAUCCACAAAACCAGGGUGGAAUCCCAGCCACCCUGUUCUCUAAGGCUCCUCCGACCAGGCUUUUGACGUUGGGAAGGGAGGGGCUUAGGCCUGGAGCCCUCGCUCUGUCCCCAGCCUCUCCCGGACAUUAAGUCCCAGGGCUGGAAUGGCAGUUCCUCCCCCUCUGUGCCUCACUCAUCCCUGCUGCCCCGCUCCAUGCCGCCGAGGAGCAGACUGACCACUGGGGGGAUGGGCGGGGCCUGGCCAGGCGGCCCCUCACCAGCCCUGGGGUCAUGUCUUGGCAUCAGCCCGGCGGAAAGACUCACCCCCACUUCCCAGGCCGCCGUUGACUCCCUCCCAGCCUCCCGUGGCAGACUCUAAGAUGAGGACGCCUCUCACCACCUGACGUGUCUUCCCACUUACUCAGCAGCCAGCUCGUUCACUGUCCCUCGCCACACCGGAACAGGGCUCCGCGAGCGCAGGCGCCUUCCUGCCUGUCCUGCUGCUGUCCCCAGCACGUGGCGGGGCUCUGGCCAGGAGGCAUCGGUUGAAUGAAGGACUGGCCGUCAUUGUCAAUAUGCCAUGUGAGGUGACUUAGAGCCACUCAAGCAGACCCCACCAGCUGGCCUUCGCUGCCCUUCCAGCCUGUCUCCCUACACGGGAGUCUUGCUUUGUUACCUGGGCUAGAGUGCAGUGGC